CAGCAGUCGCCGCGGUAAUACGUAGGGUGCAAGCGUUAAUCGGAAUUACUGGGCGUAAAGCGUGCGCAGGCGGUUCGCUAAGACAGAUGUGAAAUCCCCGGGCUCAACCUGGGAACUGCAUUUGUGACUGGCAAGCUAGAGUCUGGCAGAGGGGGGUGGAAUUCCGCGUGUAGCAGUGAAAUGCGUGGAUAUGCGGAGGAACACCGAUGGCGAAGGCAGCCCCCUGGGCCAACACUGACGCUCAUGCACGAAAGCGUGGGGAGCAAAUGGGAUUAGAUACCCCCGUAGUCCCUGUCUCUUAUAC
RNAcentral lists this ribosomal RNA (304 nucleotides) under uncultured bacterium. RNAcentral's name for it is "partial 16S ribosomal RNA". It matches the Rfam family "Bacterial small subunit ribosomal RNA", at positions 509 to 807 of the family's 1533-position model. The record is from RNAcentral.